This 75-nucleotide transfer RNA is filed under the name Microbispora rosea. Its description in RNAcentral is "tRNA-Arg". It matches the Rfam family "tRNA". Rfam says of the family: Transfer RNA (tRNA) molecules are approximately 80 nucleotides in length. Their secondary structure includes four short double-helical elements and three loops (D, anti-codon, and T loops). RNAcentral also lists the same sequence under 16 other names. Lineage: Bacteria; Bacillati; Actinomycetota; Actinomycetes; Streptosporangiales; Streptosporangiaceae. The record is from RNAcentral.
GCCCCCUUAGCUCAGGGGAUAGAGCACCGGCCUCCGGAGCCGGGUGCGUAGGUUCGAAUCCUACAGGGGGCACCA